AUAUCCGACGUGCUGUGGCGCUCCGUGGCCUUCCUUUCUACCUCCAUGAGGAUGAUGCCACUUUUCUAAAGACAUGGGAUGUAAGUCUCUCAAUCGGAGUUUCCAGAUAUUGAGGACCUUACUGUUGAACUCAUUCUGAUCAGCACGAACAGUGCAAAUGCAUCCCUCUGCCCAAAGAAGACUCCUGUUGUUUUGGAUUGAAAUGACUGUUGAAUUUCCUAGCAUUGGUCAGGCAUUUGUCAUAAAGUAUCUAUCUAUCUAUCUAUCUAUCUAGAUAGAUAGUAUCUAUCUAUCUAUCUAUCUAUCUAUCUAGUCUUUAUGCCCUUGAUCUAAACUGUGUUUAUUUGAAUUUAGCCUCCACUACAGCCCUGUUCUGAACUCCAACCUGUAUUUGUUUCCAUGGUUUACAUGAAAAUAAAAGAUUAAGAAGAAUUUCA
Molecule: long non-coding RNA, 437 nt
Organism: Alosa sapidissima (American shad)
Lineage: Eukaryota; Metazoa; Chordata; Actinopteri; Clupeiformes; Clupeidae
Exons: 2
Source: RefSeq, a predicted model, not a curated record